AUUGAACGCUGGCGGCAGGCCUAACUCAUGCAAGUCGAGCGGCAGCGGGAAAGUAGCUUGCUACUUUUGCCGGCGAGCGGCGGACGGGUGAGUAAUGCCUGGGGAUCUGCCCAGUCGAGGGGGAUAACAGUUGGAAACGACUGCUAAUACCGCAUACGCCCUACGGGGGAAAGGAGGGGACCUUCGGGCCUUUCGCGGUUGGAUGAACCCAGGUGGGAUUAGCUAGUUGGUGGGUUAAUGGCUCACCAAGGCGACGAUCCCUAGCUGGUCUGAGAGGAUGAUCAGCCACACUGGAACUGAGACACGGUCCAGACUCCUACGGGAGGCAGCAGUGGGGAAUAUUGCACAAUGGGGGAAACCCUGAUGCAGCCAUGCCGCGUGUGUGAAGAAGGCCUUCGGGUUGUAAAGCACUUUCAGCGAGGAGGAAAGGUUGUUGGCUAAUACCCAGCAACUGUGACGUUACUCGCAGAAGAAGCACCGGCUAACUCCGUGCCAGCCGCCGCGGUAA
Molecule: ribosomal RNA, 508 nt
Filed under: uncultured bacterium
Lineage: Bacteria
Description: partial 16S ribosomal RNA
Rfam family: Bacterial small subunit ribosomal RNA
Source: RNAcentral